GUGCCGUCGGCGCACUAGGGUUUUUUCUCGCCGAAGAACGAUGGUUUUCCACUUCCUUCGAUCUUCUCCUUUCGCUUUUAGGCGAAUUGCCUUCCGUUUCCGGUGAUACCAACUUCGCUCUUCGUUCUCAUUCUUCAUGAAAUUUUAUUGCUUUUAUCAGUUUCAUUUGUAUUAUUCGAUACCCAUCACCCUCUUCUGCUUCGUGUCUAGUUUAUUGGUUUCUUCGGGGUGUCCCCUAAACAUUUGUGCGCCAUACGUUGAAUCUCUUGGCUUUCAUGUAUGAGUUUGUUCAAUGAGAGGGAAGCACAACCCUUGAGAUCGCCUUCCUUGUGACAGUGGAAGCGUUUCGAGUCAUUGUUGUGCAACAUUACCUUGGGGGCUUCUUGAAGUUUCUUCAUGUUAGUCCUUCCACCAUUCUGGUUUAUACUUUCGCAGUAGCUCCUUUGUUGGUUUAUGUUGUUUAUCAGGAGGCCAUGAUCAAUAGCGCGUGUUAUGUGCUAUUAGUCAUACGGUUUUCUGUACAGCAUUUUUCCAUUGCGCCGGUUGGCUAUUGUGGGCCAGAAGGUUUGGCACAUUGAUGCUUUGAAAAUCAACCUAAUUUUAGUUUAGUUUUAGAUGGUGGCAGUGUCUUUUAAGUUUUCCUUGUUCUUGUGGGUUCUCCAUAAUACGGUACUUAGUCAUAAACUAUGAUUUCUGGGCAGCUUGAUCUAAAGUGCCCUUAUUAUUCGGUGUAUAGUUUGCAAUCUCGUUUUCAGUAUAGUCCUUAUUCAUCAUCUUCUUAAGUUAUAAUGAGCUCUUGUUUUUGUGGUUUUGGUAGGGUAAAUGAUCUCUUACGGACGUAUCUGACUCUUUGCUUUCCCUUGUUUGCAUGAGUGAUUCAUUACGUUCUUUGUUAGUUUUCCCAAAUUGGCGUGGCGAUGAAACUGGACAAUUUUCUCGUAAAUGAUCUCUUACGGACGUAUCUGCUUUCCCUUGUUUGCAUGAGUGGUUCAUUACGUUCUUUGUUAGUUUUCCCAAAUUGGCAUGGCGAUUGAACUAAUAAACUCUGAGGUGGAGUUUUUGAUUUGCACUAACUUCCCGUAUUAGCCAACUGAGUGCAUCCUCAUCAUCUUGGAUUCAGUCAAUUGAACACAGAAAGCAGUCUUAUCUGUAAUCUUCCAAAACUUGUGCUUCGAGUUAGUUGUCCCUUAUCUUUGUUUUUUGUUUCAAGAAUUUAGUCUCUGCCGAAACUCAAGCCGUUUGUUUUAUGGUUGUUUGUGCCCUUAUCUGAGUGGAGUAUGCUUGUUUGUUUUACAGAGAAUUUCCAAAAUUCAAAUUUUGGUCACCUUUGUUCUUUAUAGUUUGUGCAAGGAUGAUGAAUCUAUUAGAUGUGUGAAGGGAGUCUUUCCAUUAUGAACGGACUCAUGAGGCAUUUCAAGGUUCUGACUUGCUAUAUAUGCUACCACUUUCACUUGAAUUAUGAUUUUGUUGAGUUGCAAAUAUGAACUUUUCAUCUGUUUCCGUUGAACUUCGAAAUCUUAAUUGCUCGACUGUGUAUGAGUCAUCCUAGUAUGAUGAACCAAUUAGAUGUGUGAAAUGGCUUCUACCAUCAUGAACUGAACUACUGAGGCAUUUCAAGGUUCUGACUUGAUACUCGCAGUCUUCUGUAAUUUUUCAGAAUUUGUGCCUCGAGAUAGUUAGGCUCUGCUGAUACUCGAGCUUUUCUCUUUUACCUCUUUGAAUUCACUACACGGAGCACCUUUUAGUUCUCCAAUUGCGGAGGCAGUUCCCUCGUCAGCGGUUGAACUGUUGAGGCAUGUGAAAGUUGAUUGUUACAGAGAAUGACAGGCAAUGAGAUUUGCCAAGAUUCAAAUUUUAGGCACCUUAAUAUUAGAACUUUGUCCAAGAAUGAUGAAUCGAUUAGAUGUGUGAUUGGGAGUCUUUCAACGACUCAUGAGGCAUUUCAAGGUUCAACUUGCUAUAUGUGACCACUUUAUUUGAGCCAUGAUUCUCUUGAAUUGUGUAUGCCAACUUUCUUUCUGAUUCCGUUUUUACUUAGAAAUUGUAGUCGCUCCACUCUACUGUAUUGAGUAUCUAGUGUGAUGAACCAAUUAGAUGUGUGAAAUGGCUUCUGCCGUCAUGAACUGAACUACCGAGGCAUUUCAAGGUUCUGACUUGAUACUUUCUUUUUCCUGAUAUAUAUUGUCACGAAUAAACUAUAUCAUAUUAAUUGAGCCAGGAAAUAUGCAAUACCUUGCUGAACUAAAUCUAUACGAGAAAAUAUCGAGUCUUUCCAGGUAUCUCAAGUUGGAUGGCUGACUAGUGACCUCAUGGCAUCUUGUCAAUUUGGUGAAGCGUCAAAGCAAGUUUGUAAUUGAAAUCAAUAAGCCCAAGGUUUUCGCUGUGUUGUGUCUGGUAGGGACUUUUUUGUCAGUCUUUUUGUAUCUGUACAUGUAACUUCGGAUGGUGCUUAAUAAUUCGGACUCGAAAGCCUAUGAAGCAAGGGGUUUGGACCUUUUCUGCCAAGGCAUGUUAAAGUUUUGCACUGAAGUGAAAUUAUGAACAAUGUUAAAUAUCACAAGUUUUGACGAAAUAUGUGAAAUACAGACAAGUUUUCAAGCA
Molecule: long non-coding RNA, 2601 nt
Organism: Nymphaea colorata (pocket water lily)
Lineage: Eukaryota; Viridiplantae; Streptophyta; Magnoliopsida; Nymphaeales; Nymphaeaceae
Exons: 2
Source: RefSeq, a predicted model, not a curated record